This 551-nucleotide ribosomal RNA is filed under the name uncultured Actinomycetes bacterium. RNAcentral describes it as "bacterial SSU rRNA". It matches the Rfam family "Bacterial small subunit ribosomal RNA", at positions 254 to 817 of the family's 1533-position model. The record is from RNAcentral. Lineage: Bacteria; Bacillati; Actinomycetota; Actinomycetes.
GGGGUGAUGGCCUACCAAGGCGACGACGGGUAGCCGGCCUGAGAGGGUGGACGGCCACAUUGGGACUGAGAUACGGCCCAGACUCCUACGGGAGGCAGCAGUGGGGAAUAUUGCACAAUGGGCGCAAGCCUGAUGCAGCGACGCCGCGUGAGGGAUGACGGCCUUCGGGUUGUAAACCUCUUUCAGCAGGGACGAAGCGUGAGUGACGGUACCUGCAGAAGAAGCACCGGCUAACUACGUGCCAGCAGCCGCGGUAAUACGUAGGGUGCGAGCGUUGUCCGGAAUUACUGGGCGUAAAGAGUUCGUAGGCGGUUUGUCGCGUCGUUUGUGAAAACCCGGGGCCCAACUUCGGGCUUGCAGGCGAUACGGGCAGACUUGAGUGUUUCAGGGGAGACUGGAAUUCCUGGUGUAGCGGUGAAAUGCGCAGAUAUCAGGAGGAACACCGGUGGCGAAGGCGGGUCUCUGGGAAACAACUGACGCUGAGGAACGAAAGCGUGGGUAGCAAACAGGAUUAGAUACCCUGGUAGUCCACGCCGUAAACGGUGGGUACU